AUAACGACCUCAUCAUCCCUUGGAGAACCGUGGAGGCGCCGCGAAGGCUUCUGGGUAGCGGAGUCCGAGUGCUCGGCGAGCGCAGGCGUAGUGGGAACCCGGCCCGGGCCCAGAGGGAGGGAGGGAGCGAAGGAAGGAAGCGGCCUUUGUCCCGUUCCGGACGCCGCGAGCGCGGCCGGGGGGCUCUGUUCUGCAUCAGCUCUCUGCCGAUGACUCUGGAUCCCCAGAUGGAGAGGAGAGAGCCCUGGGCCAGCAGGUGGGGGACCUGGGCUCUCCCCCUGACUCACCAUGUGACCUUGGGGAAGUCACUUGCCCUCUGUGGACCCCAGCGUCCCUGCCUUAAAAGUGGCCACACUGCAGGAGAACUGGAGAGCAUCAAGGGAGGGAGUGUGACCCCAGAGGAAUGUGGAGUCCAGGUUCUAGGGGACAAGGGAUCUGAGGAUGGUUCUCCAACCAUCACGUCUGCAUCAGAGGCCCCCUGGAUGUUGAGGAAAGAGAGCCGGGCUCUACCCUUGCUUCAUUGCGCAACCUUGGCUCCUCCAUCUCCAGACUGCCCUCUGCCCCCAGAGGAGCAUGGAAUGGCUGCCAGACUCCUUCCAGCCAGGGCCCAGGUAAGUUGGGUUCUCACAUCUUUUUGCAGACCACCCCUCAGCCUCUCUCUCCCGGACACCUUCUGCCAGCAUCCCAUCCAGGGAGGCGAGCCCGGGCUCUGUGGAGGCUCGGCCCUCCGAGGAAGCAGCAGGGUGACCUCCCUGUGGCUCUCCUGGCCUCUCUCCUGUCUUUGGGACCGCAGCCUCUUGUCAGUGACCAUUCAGUGACAGAUCUGUCGCAGUGACCAGCCCCCUCUCCCUUUGUGUGACUCUCUCUGUGUGUCCCUGCACCCUCUCUCAGGAGUUCCUUCCAUGCCUGUGUCUGUAUGGGGCUGGCUGAGACAGCCUGGGCCCUCACAGCUCUGAGGCAGCCGUGGGCUAGCCUGGGAAAGCCUUUGGAGCAGGAGUGGGGGGCCUUGCUGUCACUACAGGUGCCUGGGCAGGAACUAGAUGGCCCUUUGGCAGGGAUGGCACAGCUCAGGCAGAAAUGUCUUUGGAGGUCACUUCGGCUCCGAGAGUCUAGUAUUCUCAGAACCUCCUCAUACUCAGAACAGUCCAGAAAUGAAAUGGGUUCCUUUGAUAGGUAGUAAGCUCCCCGUCACUGCUAGGUAUGCAGAUAGAGACUGGAAAAGAGGCGAGAUGCCCCUGAGGGUCCCUGAUGAAGCCAUCGCCUCACUCUUUCUGUCGUUCUGACUAUAUCUGUGUCUCAGUCAGCAGGCAUAAUACCUCCUCUGUGCCAUGCGCUGUUCUAGGUACUGCGGAGGGAAAAAGACAAGUGAGCCAGUCCCUGCCCUUGGGCAGCUCACACUUUACCAGGACUACCAAUGUUGGGUGACUUGGCCCCAGUUCUCUGUGCCGAUAGCUGGGGGUUCUGGGUGGGAAACUUGGCUCUGGCCCUGGGCCAGUCACCAGGACCCCUGGGGCCCGUGUUACCUCCUCAUACACUGACC
This 1540-nucleotide long non-coding RNA is filed under the name Phascolarctos cinereus (koala). Its description in RNAcentral is "lncRNA (ENSPCIG00000009643.2)". Lineage: Eukaryota; Metazoa; Chordata; Mammalia; Diprotodontia; Phascolarctidae. The record is from RNAcentral.